Molecule: ribosomal RNA, 508 nt
Filed under: uncultured bacterium
Lineage: Bacteria
Description: partial 16S ribosomal RNA
Rfam family: Bacterial small subunit ribosomal RNA
Source: RNAcentral
AUUGAACGCUGGCGGCAUGCCUUACACAUGCAAGUCGAACGGCAGCGGGGGAGAAGCUUGCUUUUCCUGCCGGCGAGUGGCGAACGGGUGAGUAAUACAUCGGAACGUGCCCUGUAGUGGGGGAUAACUAGUCGAAAGAUUAGCUAAUACCGCAUACGACCUGAGGGUGAAAGGGGGGGACCGCAAGGCCCCAUGCUAUAGGAGCGGCCGAUGUCUGAUUAGCUAGUUGGUGGGGUAAAGGCCUACCAAGGCGACGAUCAGUAGCUGGUCUGAGAGGACGAUCAGCCACACUGGGACUGAGACACGGCCCAGACUCCUACGGGAGGCAGCAGUGGGGAAUUUUGGACAAUGGGCGAAAGCCUGAUCCAGCAAUGCCGCGUGUGUGAAGAAGGCCUUCGGGUUGUAAAGCACUUUUGUCCGGAAAGAAAUGGCUCUGGUUAAUACCUGGGGUCGAUGACGGUACCGGAAGAAUAAGGACCGGCUAACUACGUGCCAGCCGCCGCCGUAA